CCUACGGGGGACAGCAGUGGGGAAUAUUGGACAAUGGGGGCAACCCUGAUCCAGCCAUGCCGCGUGUGUGAAGAAGGCCCUCGGGUUGUAAAGCACUUUCAGUGAGGAAGAACGCCUGGUGGUUAAUACCCAUCAGGAAAGACAUCACUCACAGAAGAAGCACCGGCUAACUCCGUGCCAGCAGCCGCGGUAAUACGGAGGGUGCGAGCGUUAAUCGGAAUUACUGGGCGUAAAGCGCGCGUAGGUGGCUUGAUAAGCCGGUUGUGAAAGCCCCGGGCUCAACCUGGGAACGGCAUCCGGAACUGUCAAGCUAGAGUGCAGGAGAGGAAGGUAGAAUUCCCGGUGUAGCGGUGAAAUGCGUAGAGAUCGGGAGGAAUACCAGUGGCGAAGGCGGCCUUCUGGACUGACACUGACACUGAGGUGCGAAAGCGUGGGUAGCAAACAGGAUUAGAUACCCUAGUAGUC
Molecule: ribosomal RNA, 465 nt
Filed under: Vreelandella stevensii
Lineage: Bacteria; Pseudomonadati; Pseudomonadota; Gammaproteobacteria; Oceanospirillales; Halomonadaceae
Description: partial 16S ribosomal RNA
Rfam family: Bacterial small subunit ribosomal RNA
Source: RNAcentral